AUUGAACGCUGGCGGCAUGCCUAACACAUGCAAGUCGAACGGCAGCGCGGGGGCAACCCUGGCGGCGAGUGGCGGACGGGUGAGGAAUGCAUAGGAAUCUGCCCGGUUGUGGGGGAUAACGUAGGGAAACUUACGCUAAUACCGCAUACGACCUUCGGGUGAAAGUGGGGGACCUUCGGGCCUCACGCGAUCGGAUGAGCCUAUGCCCGAUUAGCUAGUUGGCGGGGUAAGAGCCCACCAAGGCGACGAUCGGUAGCUGGUCUGAGAGGAUGAUCAGCCACACUGGGACUGAGACACGGCCCAGACUCCUACGGGAGGCAGCAGUGGGGAAUAUUGGACAAUGGGCGCAAGCCUGAUCCAGCAAUGCCGCGUGUGUGAAGAAGGCCUUCGGGUUGUAAAGCACUUUUGUUCGGGAAGAAAUCCGUGUGGUUAAUACCCGUACGGGAUGACGGUACCGAAAGAAUAAGCACCGGCGAACUUCGU
This 483-nucleotide ribosomal RNA is filed under the name uncultured bacterium. RNAcentral's name for it is "partial 16S ribosomal RNA". It matches the Rfam family "Bacterial small subunit ribosomal RNA", at positions 29 to 506 of the family's 1533-position model. The record is from RNAcentral.